RNAcentral lists this ribosomal RNA (1552 nucleotides) under Salmonella enterica subsp. enterica serovar Senftenberg. RNAcentral's name for it is "bacterial SSU rRNA". It matches the Rfam family "Bacterial small subunit ribosomal RNA". Lineage: Bacteria; Pseudomonadati; Pseudomonadota; Gammaproteobacteria; Enterobacterales; Enterobacteriaceae. The record is from RNAcentral. RNAcentral also lists the same sequence under 4 other names.
AAAUUGAAGAGUUUGAUCAUGGCUCAGAUUGAACGCUGGCGGCAGGCCUAACACAUGCAAGUCGAACGGUAACAGGAAGCAGCUUGCUGCUUCGCUGACGAGUGGCGGACGGGUGAGUAAUGUCUGGGAAACUGCCUGAUGGAGGGGGAUAACUACUGGAAACGGUGGCUAAUACCGCAUAACGUCGCAAGACCAAAGAGGGGGACCUUCGGGCCUCUUGCCAUCAGAUGUGCCCAGAUGGGAUUAGCUUGUUGGUGAGGUAACGGCUCACCAAGGCGACGAUCCCUAGCUGGUCUGAGAGGAUGACCAGCCACACUGGAACUGAGACACGGUCCAGACUCCUACGGGAGGCAGCAGUGGGGAAUAUUGCACAAUGGGCGCAAGCCUGAUGCAGCCAUGCCGCGUGUAUGAAGAAGGCCUUCGGGUUGUAAAGUACUUUCAGCGGGGAGGAAGGUGUUGUGGUUAAUAACCACAGCAAUUGACGUUACCCGCAGAAGAAGCACCGGCUAACUCCGUGCCAGCAGCCGCGGUAAUACGGAGGGUGCAAGCGUUAAUCGGAAUUACUGGGCGUAAAGCGCACGCAGGCGGUCUGUCAAGUCGGAUGUGAAAUCCCCGGGCUCAACCUGGGAACUGCAUUCGAAACUGGCAGGCUUGAGUCUUGUAGAGGGGGGUAGAAUUCCAGGUGUAGCGGUGAAAUGCGUAGAGAUCUGGAGGAAUACCGGUGGCGAAGGCGGCCCCCUGGACAAAGACUGACGCUCAGGUGCGAAAGCGUGGGGAGCAAACAGGAUUAGAUACCCUGGUAGUCCACGCCGUAAACGAUGUCUACUUGGAGGUUGUGCCCUUGAGGCGUGGCUUCCGGAGCUAACGCGUUAAGUAGACCGCCUGGGGAGUACGGCCGCAAGGUUAAAACUCAAAUGAAUUGACGGGGGCCCGCACAAGCGGUGGAGCAUGUGGUUUAAUUCGAUGCAACGCGAAGAACCUUACCUGGUCUUGACAUCCACAGAAGAAUCCAGAGAUGGAUUUGUGCCUUCGGGAACUGUGAGACAGGUGCUGCAUGGCUGUCGUCAGCUCGUGUUGUGAAAUGUUGGGUUAAGUCCCGCAACGAGCGCAACCCUUAUCCUUUGUUGCCAGCGGUUAGGCCGGGAACUCAAAGGAGACUGCCAGUGAUAAACUGGAGGAAGGUGGGGAUGACGUCAAGUCAUCAUGGCCCUUACGACCAGGGCUACACACGUGCUACAAUGGCGCAUACAAAGAGAAGCGACCUCGCGAGAGCAAGCGGACCUCAUAAAGUGCGUCGUAGUCCGGAUUGGAGUCUGCAACUCGACUCCAUGAAGUCGGAAUCGCUAGUAAUCGUGGAUCAGAAUGCCACGGUGAAUACGUUCCCGGGCCUUGUACACACCGCCCGUCACACCAUGGGAGUGGGUUGCAAAAGAAGUAGGUAGCUUAACCUUCGGGAGGGCGCUUACCACUUUGUGAUUCAUGACUGGGGUGAAGUCGUAACAAGGUAACCGUAGGGGAACCUGCGGUUGGAUCACCUCCUUACCUUAAAGAA